RNAcentral lists this ribosomal RNA (515 nucleotides) under uncultured microorganism. Its description in RNAcentral is "bacterial SSU rRNA". It matches the Rfam family "Bacterial small subunit ribosomal RNA", at positions 9 to 524 of the family's 1533-position model. The record is from RNAcentral.
GAGUUUGAUCGUGGCUCAGGACGAACGCUGGCGGCGUGCUUAACACAUGCAAGUCGAACGAGAAUCUACUGAAAGAGUUUUCGGACAAUGGAAGUAGAGGAAAGUGGCGGACGGGUGAGUAACGCGUGAGGAACCUGCCUUGAAGAGGGGGACAACAGUUGGAAACGACUGCUAAUACCGCAUGAUGCAUAAGGGUCGCAUGAUUCUUAUGCCAAAGAUUUAUCGCUUCAAGAUGGCCUCGCGUCUGAUUAGCUAGUUGGCGGGGUAACGGCCCACCAAGGCGACGAUCAGUAGCCGGACUGAGAGGUUGAACGGCCACAUUGGGACUGAGAUACGGCCCAGACUCCUACGGGAGGCAGCAGUGGGGAAUAUUGGGCAAUGGGCGCAAGCCUGACCCAGCAACGCCGCGUGAAGGAAGAAGGCUUUCGGUAUGUAAACUUCUAUCAGCAGGGAAGAAAAUAGACGGUACCUGACUAAGAAGCCCCGGCUAACUACGUGCCAGCAGCCGCAGUAAG